Molecule: ribosomal RNA, 236 nt
Filed under: uncultured bacterium
Lineage: Bacteria
Description: partial 16S ribosomal RNA
Rfam family: Bacterial small subunit ribosomal RNA
Source: RNAcentral
UGAGCAAUCUGCCCUUCACAUCGGGAUAACUCCGGGAAACCGGUGCUAAUACCGAAUACGACCACUUCAGGCAUCUGAUGGUGGUGGAAAGUUCCGGCGGUGAAGGAUGAGCUCGCGGCCUAUCAGCUUGGUUGGGUGGGGUAAUAGCUCACCAAGGCGAUGGACGGGUAGCCGGCCUGAGAGGGUGACCCGGCCACACGUGGGACUGAGACACCGGCCCAGACCUCCGUACGGGA